AAUGAAUUUGUUUCAAUUAUAAAAACAAUGUUAUUGAAAUUACCAUGUUGCAAUACCACAAUACUGUGUAUUUUCAACUAUGUUGUUAUAGUCGAAAAUCAUUCUUUCUCAAGUUAAACUGACUACCCGUUUAGUAAUGAAUAACGGAAAGUGUUCUCGAUUUUACCAUGCCCAUGGUAGGAAUAAGAAUUAAAAGAAUGUAAUUCUCACCAGCGCUCACUUACGUUUCGAGCUCACUUUCAUUAUGACGACAUUUUUUGUGCACCAGUCAAGCCUGGACCUUGCUUAUUUGUGUGGUUCGCUUCAAAAUGUAUUAAUUAAAUCAAACAAUACAGACCUGCGAAAUGCCCGGGCUGAGAAUCUAGAGUUCCUCAUACCAAAAUCCAGAGCUGCCAAGACUCGAGUCGCGCAAUGUAUAGCAGAGAAAUACCAACCAAACCUGCUGAGUGUACUUUGACCUACGUAUCGAGCAAUGAGAACCUCCACCCGGAUUUCUUUAUAAUCGAUGCCACGGGAAAGCGGAAGAGUUUACAGAAGCUGUCAUGCAUAUCGUCCCUACUUUUGUUUUGCUUCCAAAAUUCAACGACGAAUUCUCGCAUAAUUUGAGAUAACGCCCUAAAAGCCAUUG
Molecule: long non-coding RNA, 628 nt
Organism: Aedes aegypti (yellow fever mosquito)
Lineage: Eukaryota; Metazoa; Arthropoda; Insecta; Diptera; Culicidae
Exons: 3
Source: RefSeq, a predicted model, not a curated record